UUCGGAUUGUAGGCUGCAACUCGCCUACAUGAAGUCGGAGUUGCUAGUAAUCGCGGAUCAGAAUGCCGCGGUGAAUGCGUUCCCGGGUCUUGUACACACCGCCCGUCACACCAUGGAAGUUGGGGGGCGCCCGAAGUUGCCUAAGAAAUAAGGUACCUAAGGCGAAACCAAUGACUGGGGUGAAGUCGUAACAAGGUACC
RNAcentral lists this ribosomal RNA (200 nucleotides) under uncultured bacterium. RNAcentral describes it as "partial 16S ribosomal RNA". It matches the Rfam family "Bacterial small subunit ribosomal RNA", at positions 1292 to 1500 of the family's 1533-position model. The record is from RNAcentral.